RNAcentral lists this ribosomal RNA (253 nucleotides) under uncultured bacterium. Its description in RNAcentral is "partial 16S ribosomal RNA". It matches the Rfam family "Bacterial small subunit ribosomal RNA", at positions 524 to 776 of the family's 1533-position model. The record is from RNAcentral.
UACAGAGGAUGCAAGCGUUAUCCGGAAUGAUUGGGCGUAAAGCGUCUGUAGGUGGCUUUUUAAGUCCGCCGUCAAAUCCCAGGGCUCAACUCUGGACAGGCGGUGGAAACUACCAAGCUGGAGUACGGUAGGGGCAGAGGGAAUUUCCGGUGGAGCGGUGAAAUGCGCAGAUAUCGGGAGGAACACCGGUGGCGAAGGCGGGUCUCUGGGCCGAUACUGACGCUGAGGAGCGAAAGCGUGGGGAGCGAACAGG